Molecule: transfer RNA, 72 nt
Filed under: Apaloderma vittatum (bar-tailed trogon)
Lineage: Eukaryota; Metazoa; Chordata; Aves; Trogoniformes; Trogonidae
Rfam family: tRNA
About the family: Transfer RNA (tRNA) molecules are approximately 80 nucleotides in length.
Source: Rfam by way of RNAcentral
GGCCGGUUAGCUCAGUCGGUUGGAGCGUGGUGCUGAUAACAUCAAAGUGCGGGUUCGAUCCCCACUCGGUCC